Molecule: long non-coding RNA, 516 nt
Organism: Anguilla anguilla (European eel)
Lineage: Eukaryota; Metazoa; Chordata; Actinopteri; Anguilliformes; Anguillidae
Exons: 3
Source: RefSeq, a predicted model, not a curated record
GUAUAUCCAAUCACAUGCGCAUGUUGCUGUGACGUGCUCUUGGAAGAAGGUCGUUGUGAUUUCAAAUUCUCCGUGGGAAAAUCUGGGUUUGACGGCGUUCAAGAGCAGAGUUCUCUACAUUUGGCCCAACAGCUCAAAUGGAAACUAGAGCACAAGAUCAGAAUGAAGCUCCCACACAUGGCCUUAUGACUGUUGCCCCGGUGAAGAACCCGAGGUCCAGCCUUCCCCACUCAAGACAUGCCUGAGACAAGAGUGACUGUAUUCCAAGUUGAUCCAAGGUGAUCCUAACUUAAAUGUAGUUCUUGAAAAAGACAAAAAUACUCAACACUAUUAAUGUUGAAAUCAUUGGUCUAUGGUUAUUACUGUCCUGAAACGACCCUUUGCCCUUUUUAUGUUUUUUUUAAAUGUUUUCUUCUGUACCAUAAUUAUGCUUGCAAAUAUUGCCUACCUAGAAAUGUAACUUGAACCUGAUCUCAAUGGUAUUCUAUACAAUGACAAUAAAGGCUUUCUAUUCUA